RNAcentral lists this transfer RNA (73 nucleotides) under Ixodes scapularis (black-legged tick). It matches the Rfam family "tRNA". From Rfam's summary of the family: Transfer RNA (tRNA) molecules are approximately 80 nucleotides in length. The record is from Rfam by way of RNAcentral. Lineage: Eukaryota; Metazoa; Arthropoda; Arachnida; Ixodida; Ixodidae.
CCCUGGCUAGCCCAGUUGGUAGAGCCCUCUACUGGAAAUGGAGAGGUCCCGGGUUCGAUACCCGGACCAGGCG